RNAcentral lists this ribosomal RNA (213 nucleotides) under uncultured bacterium. Its description in RNAcentral is "partial 16S ribosomal RNA". It matches the Rfam family "Bacterial small subunit ribosomal RNA", at positions 524 to 736 of the family's 1533-position model. The record is from RNAcentral.
UACGUAGGUGGCAAGCGUUGUCCGGAAUUAUUGGGCGUAAAGCGCGCGCAGGCGGUCCUUUAAGUCUGAUGUGAAAGCCCACGGCUCAACCGUGGAGGGUCAUUGGAAACUGGGGGACUUGAGUACAGAAGAGAAGAGUGGAAUUCCACGUGUAGCGGUGAAAUGCGUAGAGAUGUGGAGGAACACCAGUGGCGAAGGCGACUCUUUGGUCUG